Molecule: small nucleolar RNA, 133 nt
Organism: Choloepus hoffmanni (Hoffmann's two-fingered sloth)
Lineage: Eukaryota; Metazoa; Chordata; Mammalia; Pilosa; Megalonychidae
Gene: SNORA70
Rfam family: Small nucleolar RNA SNORA70
About the family: snoRNA U70 seems to be exclusive to mammals and is a member of the H/ACA class of snoRNA which contain H (ANANNA) and ACA box motifs. H/ACA box snoRNAs are involved in the conversion of uridines to pseudouridines (5-ribosyluracil) a constituent of structural RNAs (transfer, ribosomal, small nuclear, and small nucleolar).
Source: Ensembl
CUGCAGCCAGUUAGGCCCACUGUUCCCGCUCCCGUGGGAGCCUGGUGUGCAGUGGCUUCAGACAGCAGCCUGCUUGGUAGUGUAUGCAGCCUGUUGCUUCUACGGGUUGCCCAAAGGCACCUAGGAGACGCCU